GGAUUCCUACGGGGCGCAGCAGUGGGGAAUAUUGCACAAUGGGGGGAACCCUGAUGCAGCGACGCCGCGUGGGCGAGGAAGUAUUUCGGUAUGUAAAGCCCUAUCGGCAGGGGAGAAGAAAUGACGGUACCUGAAUAAGAAGCACCGGCUAAAUACGUGCCAGCAGCCGCGGUAAUACGUAUGGUGCAAGCGUUAUCCGGAUUUACUGGGCGUAAAGGGAGCGCAGGCGGCGCGCCAAGUCUGAUGUGAAACACCGGGGCUCAAACCCGGGCAUGCAUUGGAAACUGGCGGGGUGGGGUGCCGGG
RNAcentral lists this ribosomal RNA (305 nucleotides) under uncultured bacterium. RNAcentral describes it as "bacterial SSU rRNA". It matches the Rfam family "Bacterial small subunit ribosomal RNA", at positions 333 to 653 of the family's 1533-position model. The record is from RNAcentral.